GAUGAACGCUAGCGGGAGGCCUAACACAUGCAAGCCGAGCGGUAUUUGUUCUUCGGAACAGAGAGAGCGGCGCACGGGUGCGGAACACGUGUGCAACCUGCCUUUAUUUGGGGGAUAGCCUUUCGAAAGGAAGAUUAAUACCCCAUAAUAUAUUGAGUGGCAUCACUUGAUAUUGAAAACUCCGGUGGAUAGAAAUGGGCACGCGCAAGAUUAGAUAGUUGGUGAGGUAACGGCUCACCAAGUCAAUGAUCUUUAGGGGGCCUGAGAGGGUGAUCCCCCACACUGGUACUGAGACACGGACCAGACGCCUACGGGAGGCAGCAGUGAGGAAUAUUGGACAAUGGGUUAGUGCCUGAUCCAGCCAUCCCGCGUGAAGGACGACGGCCCUAUGGGUUGUAAACUUCUUUUGUAUAGGGAUAAACCUACUCUCGUGAGAGUAGCUGAAGGUACUAUACGAAUAAGCACCGGCUAACUCCGUG
This 479-nucleotide ribosomal RNA is filed under the name uncultured bacterium. RNAcentral describes it as "partial 16S ribosomal RNA". It matches the Rfam family "Bacterial small subunit ribosomal RNA", at positions 28 to 507 of the family's 1533-position model. The record is from RNAcentral.